GGCGGCAGGCCUAACACAUGCAAGUCGAACGGUAACAUAUCUAGCUUGCUAGAAGAUGACGAGUGGAGGACGGUUGAGUAAUGCUUAGGAAUGUGCCUCUUAGUGGGGGACAACAGUUGGAAACGACUGCUAAUACCGCAUAAGACCAACGGAUCAAAGGGGGCUUCGCUUCUCGCUAGAAGAGAAGCCUAAGUGAUAUUAGCUAGUUGGUGAGGUCACGGCUCACCAAGGCGACGAUCUCUAGCUGUUCUGAGAGGAUGAUCAGCCACACUGGGACUGAGACACGGCCCAGACUCCUACGGGAGGCAGCAGUCUGGAAUAUUGCACAAUGGGGGGAACCCUGAUGCAGCCAUCCCGCGU
This 360-nucleotide ribosomal RNA is filed under the name freshwater bacterium FO-121. RNAcentral describes it as "bacterial SSU rRNA". It matches the Rfam family "Bacterial small subunit ribosomal RNA", at positions 38 to 402 of the family's 1533-position model. The record is from RNAcentral.